Molecule: ribosomal RNA, 646 nt
Filed under: uncultured bacterium
Lineage: Bacteria
Description: bacterial SSU rRNA
Rfam family: Bacterial small subunit ribosomal RNA
Source: RNAcentral
AAAUGCGUAGAUAUUAGGAGGAACACCAGUGGCGAAGGCGGCUUGCUGGACGACAACUGACGCUGAGGCGCGAAAGCGUGGGGAGCAAACAGGAUUAGAUACCCCUGGUAGUCCACGCUGUAAACGAUGAAUACUAGGUGUGGGAGGACUGACCCCUUCCGUGCCGCAGUUAACACAAUAAGUAUUCCACCUGGGGAGUACGACCGCAAGGUUGAAACUCAAAGGAAUUGACGGGGGCCCGCACAAGCAGUGGAUUAUGUGGUUUAAUUCGACGCAACGCGAAGAACCUUACCAGGAUUUGACAUCCAACUAACGAAGUAGAGAUACAUUAGGUGCCCUUCGGGGAAAGUUGAGACAGGUGGUGCAUGGUUGUCGUCAGCUCGUGUCGUGAGAUGUUGGGUUAAGUCCCGCAACGAGCGCAACCCCUAUUGUUAGUUGCUACGCAAGAGCACUCUAGCGAGACUGCCGUUGACAAAACGGAGGAAGGCGGGGACGACGUCAAAUCAUCAUGCCCCUUAUAUCCUGGGCUACACACGUAAUACAAUGGUGGUAAACAGAGGGAAGCAAAACAGCGAUGUGGAGCAAAUCCCUAAAAGCCAUCUCAGUUCGGAUUGCAGGCUGCAACUCGCGAUGCAUGAAGCUGGAA